CCCCGGGAAACUGGGGAUAAUACCCUAUAGACUAUGGAUGCUGGAAUGCUCCGUAGUUGAAAGGUCCGCCGCUGUAGGAUGGGUCUGCGGCCGAUUAGGUUGUUGUUGGGGUAACGGCCCAACAAGCCUGUAAUCGGUACGGGUUGUGGGAGCAAGAGCCCGGAGAUGGAUUCUGAGACACGAAUCCAGGCCCUACGGGGCGCAGCAGGCGCGAAAACUUUACAAUGCGGGAAACCGUGAUAAGGGAACUCUGAGUGCCCGUAAAAUCGGGCUGUCCAUCAGUUUAAAUAACUGGUGAAGAAAAGGGCCGGGCAAGACCGGUGCCAGCCGCCGCGGUAAUACCGGCGGCUCGAGUGGUGGCCACUAUUACUGGGCUUAAAGCGUUCGUAGCUGGUUUGUUAAGUCUCUGGGGAAAUCUUCCGGCUUAACCGGAAGGCGUCUCAGGGAUACUGGCAGACUAGGGACCGGAAGAGGUGAGAGGUACUCCAGGGGUAGGAGUGAAAUCCUGUAAUCCUUGGGGGACCACCUGUGGCGAAGG
RNAcentral lists this ribosomal RNA (538 nucleotides) under uncultured archaeon. RNAcentral's name for it is "bacterial SSU rRNA". It matches the Rfam family "Archaeal small subunit ribosomal RNA", at positions 130 to 672 of the family's 1478-position model. The record is from RNAcentral.